AUUGAACGCUGGCGGCAUGCCUUACACAUGCAAGUCGAACGGUAACAGGUCUUCGGAUGCUGACGAGUGGCGAACGGGUGAGUAAUACAUCGGAACGUGCCCGAGAGUGGGGGAUAACGAAGCGAAAGCUUUGCUAAUACCGCAUACGAUCGCAGGAUGAAAGCAGGGGACCGCAAGGCCUUGCGCUCACGGAGCGGCCGAUGGCAGAUUAGGUAGUUGGUGGGAUAAAAGCUUACCAAGCCGACGAUCUGUAGCUGGUCUGAGAGGACGACCAGCCACACUGGGACUGAGACACGGCCCAGACUCCUACGGGAGGCAGCAGUGGGGAAUUUUGGACAAUGGGCGCAAGCCUGAUCCAGCCAUGCCGCGUGCAGGAUGAAGGCCUUCGGGUUGUAAACUGCUUUUGUACGGAACGAAAAGACUCUGGUUAAUACCUGGGGUCCAUGACGGUACCGUAAGAAUAAGCACCGGCUAACUACGUGCCAGCAGCCGCCGCGG
This 498-nucleotide ribosomal RNA is filed under the name uncultured bacterium. RNAcentral's name for it is "partial 16S ribosomal RNA". It matches the Rfam family "Bacterial small subunit ribosomal RNA", at positions 30 to 523 of the family's 1533-position model. The record is from RNAcentral.